This 241-nucleotide long non-coding RNA is filed under the name Phoenix dactylifera (date palm). RNAcentral's name for it is "long non-coding RNA (PDAC_LNC017689)". Lineage: Eukaryota; Viridiplantae; Streptophyta; Magnoliopsida; Arecales; Arecaceae. The record is from RNAcentral.
CCAUCAUAACGACGGUCUUAUCACGCCCGAAGUGACCAGCAAGACCUCCCCCAUGAACCUCCCAGAUGAUGUGGUCGCGAAGAGAGGUUUCUGGAAUACAUAGGCGUGUGCCACGGAAGAGAAAGCCGUCAUGGAUCGAAAAAUCAGAAUGCUGCCGGUGACUUCCUGCUGAAAUUUCGGUGUAGAUAGGCUGAAAAUAUGCAUCAGUAGAAUAUAGAAUUUUCAGAUCAUUGAAGCCCGU